GAUGCUUCCCUGUGCUAAAGCAUACCUUGGCGAAAAUUAUAAUAGGGCGCCCUCUUCUGGUAGAUAGAUGAAUACACGAAGCCCCCUCUGCCCAGGCUGUGUGGGCCUUGGUCCCAGGACUGCAGCCCUCACUCGGCUCAAGGAGAGGGUCUCUUGUGCCAGGGAUGCAAUGGGAUUCAUGCGCAAAGACCCAGAAUACCCCAAAAGCUGCUGCCUCCUGCCCUGCUUCUUAGCCCUCCCUCCGGAGUACACACACACUGUUGUCUCAAGCUCAGCCCUUGUUCUUGCUGAUCUGGAAGGCUCUGUCCCCUGGCCUCCACCUCUGUCAUUGGUGUGGAUUGGAUUCCCCCUUCCCCACGCUGGGCUGAUGAGGUCUCAUUCCCAUGGGGAACCAGAGCACUUUGGAGGCCUCUGCCCACCCCCAGCCACCCCCCUUGGAGAGCCUCCUUUAUGCUCUAUUUUUAGUUUCUUGAUUGCAAGUGAGAAGUCAGAAUCAGAGAAUGCUGGGAAACUGUAGCGAUAACCAACCCAGAAAAAGGGACAGCCAUGUGGGGAGGGUCGAACGGUUCCAAGAGGCAGAGGAGGCGAAUGCGGUCGGUACCCGGGCUAUAACUGGGGCGGACAGGGAGGGCAGAAGGUGGGCUAGGCAUCCUGUCAGCAUGAUGAUGGAUGAUGUCAGCAGCCAAGGACAGAUGGAAUCAAGCCACUGAGCUACAAAGGACCCCUCCAGGCCACCUAUUACAAUUCCUUCUCUCCACAGGAGGAAACUGAGUCACAGCUGAGGAGGCGGGGCUGCUGUAAGGACUCUUGAUUCCUGAGGCAUUGUUUUGCAGGUGUGUGCAACAUUGGGCCAGGAAAUGUCUUCACAAAGCAGUCCACAUUAAAACCAAAGUGCACAUCACCUCUGUGCCAAUCUGGGCCCAAAGACCAGGCACGGGCCAGAUUCAUCACACCGCCCGCAGGCUGGACUGUUCUCGAGCUAACUAGAGACAGCUUUUCCCUCACCGCCCUGGGGCUGCGGUGGCCCCUUGGCCUGCACCAAAUGCAUCAUCUCCCUCCUGGAGACAGAAGUGCUUCCCCAACGUGGCGCCGCUGUACUCCCUAAAUGAAUGAACCUGCAGCUCCAAGCGGUACAAUUGGCAGUUAUUGCUGGCAGUUUAUCAGUAUUAACUGAUUAGGCCCGAGAUGAUGGAUCCCCUGUCUCAAAAAGCCCGCUGCCCUGCACCACCCCCAGACCCUGGGGAUAGGAAGACCAGAAGAAGAAGAAAAAAAGAAAAAUCCAGGAGCCUCUUACCUCAAAGGAGCUAAAGGUGGAUUUGCCUUGAACCAUCCAUGACCCUAUUGAAUUGCCCGUCCCAUCCAAGCUUCAUUCAAAAAUAAGAGCCAGCUCUCACGGUCUCCCUCUUGUCUACAGCGGGCUUCUCACUCUCUGCAAUCUCUACCAAUAGGACCAGAUGCAGUCCACCCUGACCUGGCCUCAAACUCUAAGUAGCCAGGGCUGACUUUAAGCUUCUGAUCCUCUUGUGUGGUCCGUCGUCCCCCCCCCUGCCCCCCGCCCCACUCCAGACGUAUCAGCACUCUGAAUGUCUACAGUGCGAGGGAUGGAACCCUGUGCGCUGCCAGGUAAGUACCCUGUGGACUGAGCUACAUCCCUAGCACCCAGCAUCACUUUCUGGCUACUUUGAGGCAGCCAGGUGUUAGGUGCUCCAUUGAUGCUCACCGGGUUGUUCUCUCACCGUCAGGGAAAG
Molecule: non-coding RNA, 1748 nt
Organism: Peromyscus maniculatus bairdii (prairie deer mouse)
Lineage: Eukaryota; Metazoa; Chordata; Mammalia; Rodentia; Cricetidae
Source: RefSeq, a predicted model, not a curated record